CUUUGGCCUCCUAUUUCCAGGCAGUGUCUGGGAUGGGUCCCAGGCCUGGCCUGCCCUGCACCGGGGAGUCCGUGUUUGGAGUCAACUGAGCUACUGCUUAGGGCGGCAGCUGAGGUGGGUGGGUGCAGCUUGGACAUGAUGCUAUCAGGGACGCUGGGUACCUGGAACAAGGACCGCCUCUCCCUAGUGCCAUCCUGGGAGCUCAGCUCAGAUACUCUGGGGGAAGCCAGUCACUAUUCCACGAGGAAGUUCAACUACCCCACGGAGAAGCUCAUGUAAAGAGGAACUGAGGCCACCAGCCAACAGCUGCAUGAAUGAGCCACCUUAGAAGCGAUCCUCCAGCCCCAGUCAAGCCUUCAGAUGACUGCAGCUCUGACCACCAUCUCACUGCAGCCUCAUGAGAGACCUCAGGCCAGAACCACCCAGCCAAACCACUCUUGAAUUCCUGACCCACCAAAACUGUGAGAGGAUGCAGUGUUCAUUCUCUCCGGAGGGUGCAGCACCAAGUCACCAUCUUGGAAGCAGAGAGCAGCCCUCACCAAUACCAAACCUGCCAGCACCAUGAUCUUGGACUUCUCAGCCUCCAGAACUGUGAGAAAUACAUUUCUGUUCUUUGAAAAUUACCCAGUCUAGGUAUUUUGCUAAAGCAGCAUGAAUGGACCAAGACACCAACCAUCUAAAAAAAAGAUUAAAGGAGCUGAUUCCACCAGCCAGCAUCUUGCUGAUCUUCCACACCAUGGCAUAAAAAGCAGCAAGAGCUUUCACCUAAUGCUAUACAACUGUGCCCCAAACACACACACACACACACACACACACACACACCCUCUCCCCAGAAUGAAAAACCUGAUGUUCUGAUCAGUCACUCUCCAGCUGUGGGUGGUGCUCACUCCUCUUCUGGGCAGAAAUCCCAUGAGAUUAAUUAAAGUCACCCAUCCCCAGGGCCCCCAGAGGCAUAAGUAUCAUUUGCAAUAUAGAUUUUUCCAAUAGUGCCCUCUUGGAAUUGUGCAGUGUGCAGCCUGGACAACAUUAUGUGGUGACCCUGGGUCCUAUACUUUAUGUAGAAUAGUAAGGAAAAAAAAAGAGGGAAAAAAGGAAAUUAGUUAACAUAAACAAAAAUGAACAGGAUAAAGGGGAAAGGUGUAUGGUGGUCCCUCACUCUGCCAUAGUUUCUACUGAUAACUUCCUCCUUCCACCAUCUAGCCAUAAUCCCUCCCCCUUGGCCAGCACCUCAUAUGGUCGUGGUUCUACCUGGGGUAACCCCAUCUGUAUAUAAUACAGCCGUCCCGCUGCAGGCCAGGUCGUGAACCAAGCUUGCAAUAGGAGAUACCCG
This 1330-nucleotide long non-coding RNA is filed under the name Homo sapiens (human). Its description in RNAcentral is "HSALNT0245807". The record is from RNAcentral. Lineage: Eukaryota; Metazoa; Chordata; Mammalia; Primates; Hominidae.